CAGUAGCCGCGGGAAUACGAAGGGUGCAAGCGUUAAUCGGAAUUACUGGGCGUAAAGCGCACGCAGGCGGUUUGUUAAGUCAGAUGUGAAAUCCCCGAGCUUAACUUGGGAACUGCAUUUGAAACUGGCAAGCUAGAGUCUUGUAGAGGGGGGUAGAAUUCCAGGUGUAGCGGUGAAAUGCGUAGAGAUCUGGAGGAAUACCGGUGGCGAAGGCGGCCCCCUGGACAAAGACUGACGCUCAGGUGCGAAAGCGUGGGGAGCAAACAGGAUUAGAUACCCGCGUAGUCCCUGUCUCUUAUAC
RNAcentral lists this ribosomal RNA (301 nucleotides) under uncultured bacterium. RNAcentral's name for it is "partial 16S ribosomal RNA". It matches the Rfam family "Bacterial small subunit ribosomal RNA", at positions 509 to 807 of the family's 1533-position model. The record is from RNAcentral.